This 458-nucleotide ribosomal RNA is filed under the name uncultured bacterium. RNAcentral's name for it is "partial 16S ribosomal RNA". It matches the Rfam family "Bacterial small subunit ribosomal RNA", at positions 338 to 795 of the family's 1533-position model. The record is from RNAcentral.
CCUACGGGUGGCAGCAGUGAGGAAUAUUGGUCAAUGGGCGAGAGCCUGAACCAGCCAAGUCGCGUGAGGGAGUACUGCCCUAUGGGUUGUAAACCUCUUUUGUCGGGGAGCAAAAGCCGGACGUGUCCGGCUGUGAGAGUACCCGAAGAAAAAGCAUCGGCUAACUCCGUGUCAGCAGCCGCGGUAAUACGGAGGAUGCGAGCGUUAUCCGGAUUUAUUGGGUUUAAAGGGUGCGCAGGCGGAUUUUUAAGUCAGCGGUAAAAUCGUGGGGCUCAACCCCAUCCAGCCGUUGAAACUGGGGAUCUAGAGUGUGCGAGAGGUAUGCGGAAUGCGUGGUGUAGCGGUGAAAUGCAUAGAUAUCACGCAGAACCCCGAUUGCGAAGGCAGCAUACCGGUGCACAACUGACGCUCAGGCACGAAAGCGUGGGUAUCGAACAGGAUUAGAUACCCGUGUAGUC